AAUAAGUGCAGUUUUGCACUAUUCACUUUCAACGUUUGACCAUUCAUUUUAUUUGAAAAUUUUUUAUGAUUACUAUUUUUAUUGUUAUUAGAUGAUAAAACAUGAAUAGUACUUUAUGUGUGACUAAUUUUUUUAAAAAAAUUUUAAAUAAGACGGACAGUCAAACGUUGAACUCGGAUUUUCACGGCUGCACUUAUU
Molecule: non-coding RNA, 198 nt
Organism: Oryza glumipatula
Lineage: Eukaryota; Viridiplantae; Streptophyta; Magnoliopsida; Poales; Poaceae
Source: Rfam